This 280-nucleotide ribosomal RNA is filed under the name Andinoacara rivulatus (green terror). Its description in RNAcentral is "partial small subunit ribosomal RNA". The record is from RNAcentral. Lineage: Eukaryota; Metazoa; Chordata; Actinopteri; Cichliformes; Cichlidae.
CCCUGUGAAGGUAACAUAGUAAGCAAAAUUAGCACAGCCCAAAACGCCAGGGUCGAGGUGUAGCAUAUGAGAGGGGAAGAAAUGGGCUACAUUCCCUGUUCUUUCUGGGAAUACGAACAAUGUAAUGAAAUAUACAUUAGAAGGAGGAUUUAGCAGUAAGCAUAAAAUAGAGUAGUUUUGCUGAAAUUGGCCCUGAAGCGCGCACACACCGCCCGUCACCCUCCCUGACCCAACAAAUCAAAGACUUUACAUCUUUCUACGUAAAGGGAGGCAAGUCGUA